UACAGAGGGUGCGAGCGUUGUCCGGAAUCACUGGGCGUAAAGGGCGCGUAGGCGGUUUGGCAAGUCUAUGGUGAAAGCUCGCCGCUCAACGGCGAGUCGGCCACGGAUACUGCUGAACUGGAGCACUGUAGAGGCAGGUGGAAUUCCGGGUGUAGCGGUGGAAUGCGUAGAGAUCCGGAAGAACACCGGUGGCGAAGGCGGCAUCCUGGACCGACACUGACGCUGAGGAGCGAAAGCCAGGGGAGCAAACGGG
RNAcentral lists this ribosomal RNA (253 nucleotides) under uncultured bacterium. Its description in RNAcentral is "partial 16S ribosomal RNA". It matches the Rfam family "Bacterial small subunit ribosomal RNA", at positions 524 to 776 of the family's 1533-position model. The record is from RNAcentral.